This 3486-nucleotide long non-coding RNA is filed under the name Bos grunniens (domestic yak). Its description in RNAcentral is "lncRNA (ENSBGRG00000015326.1)". The record is from RNAcentral. Lineage: Eukaryota; Metazoa; Chordata; Mammalia; Artiodactyla; Bovidae.
AGAAAGUUAGAUCAUAAGUUCUAAGGUGAGAGCAAUGACAACCAUAUAUAUCAUAUUAGUUCCUUGUUACAGAACUUUUUUAUAUUUUUCUGUUUUAGUAACUGGAAUUCCCUGGUAGCUCAGCUGGUAAAGAAUCCUGCCACAAUGCAGAAGACCCUGGUUUGAUUCCUGGGUCAGGAAGAUCCACUGGAGAAAGGACAAGCUACCAACUCCAGUGUUCUAGGUGUCCUAGAUUUAAAGAAGGAAGAUCAGAGGGAUGAUCGUCUGGAGGUGAUCACUGAUGAUGACAAAGAGGCUGAGGAAGCAGGGGAUGGCAGAGAUGGCUUCCAUGAAUGGUGAAUCCAUUGCUGUUUGGAGGAGUGAAGUGGUAUAAUUUUUUUUAAAGGUAUUUAAACUAAUAACCCUGUUUUUUUUAUUUACCACAAGUAUUUUUAAAAAACUCCACCAUGGUCAAACUGAUGUCUCUAUAGAGGAAAGGGCCUGACAAAGUGAGGCAAGAUUGUAUUGAAAAAUAUUUCUUUCAUUUGCAGAAAAACUUGCCAUAUAUGUAUUUUUUUUUUCUAUGAGGUCAUAUUUUUCUCCGGUUUUAAGCCUCACAUAUAAAGAGUCAACCCACAUACCUAUGCCAUUGAGAAAGAAAAAGGACAAUGAGAAACAUGGAGAAACCUUGAGAAAGAAAAAUCAUUAGAUUUACUGAUAGACAUUAAAGACCAGUACAUUAAGAAUUACUCACUUCAAAAACCACUACAAUAUUGUAAAGUAAUUAGCCUCCAAUUAAAUAAAUUAAUUAAAGAAAAUUACUCACUUAAAUUGUUCAGUAAGUAACAAAAGGGGCCAAAGUGCUUGGUUAAAAAAAAAGAUGAUUAUUCCAAACAGCAAACCCAUUUGUGUUCAAGCAAAUAGCUGCUCCUUUUUCAUUUCAUAGACUUCCCUGAUAGCUCAGUUGGUGAAGAAUCUGCCUGCAAUGCUGGAGACCCCAGUUCAAUUCCUGGGUCAGGAGAUCUGCUGGAGAUGGGAUAGGCUACCCAGUUUCCAUUUGGCUCCCCAGGAACCAUCAGUGGAACAAGUUACUGGGAAUGUGUUGAGUCUCCUUAACUGGGGAGAGGACCCAAGGAUGUUACCAUUCAUGUUGAAGAGUGUUACCCCCGUGGAGAGCACAGACCUUAGAAGACUGACAGUAACCACCCUAUCAUGAUGAGACUCUGAUCUACUUCUGAAGAUUUUUAGGAAGAAAGGAUUUCUGCCACCAGUACACACACUUGAUAACAGCUUUGUUAGUUUAGGCCUUACAGGUUACCGAGUGCUUUCAGAGAUUUUCUCCUUUGUAUUUUUACCACCAGUGGUGUAGGAAGCACAUAGUUUAUUCUUGUUACAGAUAAGCAAGAGGAGGCUCAUUAGCAAAGGUGGUCAUAAUCAAGUUGCUGUUGAAGGACUGAAGUUGGGUCAUUAAUACAGGUCUUCCAGUUCCAAGUUCUUGCAGUGAAAUCAUGUUGAUUCUAGAUAAGUACUGUCAAAAAGUGUUUUUCCUCCUAAACUGUGUCUCUCAUACUAUAAUGAAGAUUCAGUUUUUCUUGAUUUGUAAAAAAAUGAAGCUAGAGAGCAUUACUGGCAGACAUCUGAGACAGCUAGUUAUUAAAAUGAUUAAAAUUAUCCAGUAUAAUUUUGUUAACCUUUCUACUUAGGCCAUAUUUUCUAAAACUCUUUAAUCAUCUUAGGUGGGUCUCAUUUCAGUGUCUAAUUAUUAGAAUUUGUGGUAAGCAGUGUGAUAAAGUUACUUUACUGUUUCUUGAAAAACACAAUCUGUCACAAUAAGAUAAUUAUGUGUAGAAAAAUAUGAACAGUUAAGAACAUAACAGUACCUAUCUUCUACGAAUGAAUGAAGAAGGAACUGCUGACAGUUAAGAGAUUACUAAAAUAAUUGUUUCACAAUACCGUGGGGUGAAUUAGAAGCUAGCAGUAAAAAUGUGCUUAAAAAUAAAUUGGCACAAGCUGCCUUAAAGAAGUGUUAUUGUUCUUAUAAUGCUGUGGUUUUAAAUUAUAGUUCUUGUUUUCAAAUGUUAAAAUUAGAAACUUUAUAUCAUGGGACCACAGCCUUAAACAUCUUAUAAUAUUGUGUGGUAAUAUGAAAUUCUACUUAUAAAAGCAUUUUAGGUGUAACACUGUGGAAAUGUGAGUUAAGGACAAUAAUUGUGGAGUGAAUGCUUUAUAUUUUACAAAUAAACCUUGCACAUAUAUUGCUCACCCUAUAAAGUAUUAUUAUCUAUAUUUUAGCCAAGUAAACUGGAGUAAGGAGAAGCCAGAAAUCCCCUCCAAAUAGCACACAGGUCUUGGGCUGAACUCAAGAGAUCAGACUCAAUCUUCUCAUUUCAAAUAUGGGACUUAUUCCAUUUUUUCACUUUCCCAUUCCAAAUAUUCCACAUGAGUCAUGGAGCAAUUUUCUACUUAGCCAUCCCAGGCAAAAAUGUAGGUGAUACUAUGUUUAAAAACUUUUAGUCCCUUUUGUCUCCUCUGUUUUAACAAAAUGUAUAGAACGUCCUUAAUUAUAAGAACUCAGCUUCUUUUUAUACACUCAGGAUAUUGACACAUAGGAUCGCUACUCUUCUCUAUUUGUUAGCUAUUAUCAUCUUUUAAGCUCAUGUGCUGGGCUUUAUUCUUUUUAGAAAGAAUGUAUUUGGAAGUCUGUAUUUACUGCUAUAGCAACCUUUGCCCAAAACAUUGAGUUACUUGACAAACAUGGAGAAAAACAGCUUCCUCACCUAUCUGAAACUCCGUGGGAUUCACACAUGCAAUUACUGCUCUGGUUUGAAGGACUUCAAGAGAUUGCAAGGACCACUGGUUGUGUCCACAAGGGCUUGUCAGUUUUUUAAACCCAUGACCACAUAAGUUGUUUUAAGGUGUCUUAGUAUAGCUGCUAUAACAAUCUAGUGUUGACUGGGCGGCUUAUCAACAACAGAAACAUAGUUUUCAUAGUCUGGAGGCUAAAAGUCCAAGAUCAGGGUGCCAGCAUGGUCUAGUUCUGAUGAAAGCCCUCUUCUAGGACACAAACUGCUGUUUUCUUGUUAUAUCCUCACACAGGCGAAUAGAAUGAGGAAGUAAACUCUUUAUGAUUCUUAAAAGGACACUAAUUCCAUUCAUAAGGACCCCAUCCUCAUGACCUCAUCUUAAUCCCAAUUGUCUCCCAAAAGCCCCACUUCCUAAUUCCAUCACAUUGAUGGGUAGGGUUUCAACGUAUGAAUUUGGGGGGUGGGGUACAAACAUUAAGUCUAUAACAGAAGGAGAACUGAAAGUAAGUUGAAUUUUGAGAUUGGUCAGGCAUGACUUUGAGUCCCAGCUCUAUCCUUCCACUGAAUUGUGUUCAUACUUGCCAGUCUCAUUUCUAAAGAAAUUUAAUUUUAAAGGAAGAUUUGAAAAGUUAAGAUGUAUAUUGCUAUUCAUUUGUGAAAAUUCAGAAAGUUGAAGAAAAUAGAAAUUGUGUUUACUCUGAAA